CCUACGGGAGGCAGCAGUGGGGAAUCUUGCGCAAUGGGCGAAAGCCUGACGCAGCCAUGCCGCGUGAAUGAUGAAGGUCUUAGGAUUGUAAAAUUCUUUCAGUAGGGACGAUAAUGACGGUACCUACAGAAGAAGCCCCGGCUAACUUCGUGCCAGCAGCCGCGGUAAUACGAAGGGGGCUAGCGUUGCUCGGAAUUACUGGGCGUAAAGGGAGCGUAGGCGGACAUUUAAGUCAGGGGUGAAAUCCCAGAGCUCAACUCUGGAACUGCCUUUGAUACUGGGUGUCUUGAGUGUGAGAGAGGUAUGUGGAACUCCGAGUGUAGAGGUGAAAUUCGUAGAUAUUCGGAAGAACACCAGUGGCGAAGGCGACAUACUGGCUCAUUACUGACGCUGAGGCUCGAAAGCGUGGGGAGCAAACAGGAUUAGAUACCCUGGUAGUCCACGCCGUAAACGAUGAUUGCUAGUUGUCGGGAUGUUUACAUCUCGGUGACGCAGCUACGCAUAAGACAUCCGCCGUGGGAGGUACGGUCGCGAGAAUUAAACUACGAAGAAGUAGACGGCGUGAGACGUGCGACGGACGACGACGAGGGAGGAGG
Molecule: ribosomal RNA, 596 nt
Filed under: uncultured bacterium
Lineage: Bacteria
Description: bacterial SSU rRNA
Rfam family: Bacterial small subunit ribosomal RNA
Source: RNAcentral